This is a long non-coding RNA of Brachypodium distachyon (stiff brome), 927 nucleotides long. RefSeq lists it as uncharacterized. The record is from RefSeq and is a predicted model, not a curated record. Lineage: Eukaryota; Viridiplantae; Streptophyta; Magnoliopsida; Poales; Poaceae. The transcript is spliced from 3 exons.
CCCUAGCGGCCGAUCCACAUACCCCCUCCCUCCCAUUUCCUCAGCCGCCGCCAUCCCUCCUCGGUCUCCUCCCGGAUCUCGCAGCGCACCCGCAUCCGGCCGCCUCGGAGAACGUCGCCCCGACCAGCAACCCCUCUGCCACUCCUGCCUUGCCGCCCUCGCACGCUCAAGUGAUGGACGCAUUGCAUCUCCAGGCGGGCUUUGACCUGCCGUCGCCGAGAGGUGCUGGUAGCCGGGCAGCGGCCAGGGUGCUGCUUGUUGGGGAAGCUGCAGGUCGGUCCCCGUAGGACUGCGCGCCCGUCUGAAAGUGUUGCAGUUUUUCUCCAUCCCCAUGUCCUUCAGUCCUUGACCGCAUCUUCGCCUACUAAGAGUAAUUAACGGCUAUGGUCCUCUCGUAUGAUUUUCUUGUUUUAUCCCUUGAAGCAAUGAAUUAAUUCGUAGCAGGACUUUGUCAUCGAUGUGAAUAAUCAGUGGUUGCUGCAAGGGUGGAUGGGCCGAGUACUCUACAAAUUGUGAACAUGGGUUGCUGCUACUGCUGACAUGUCCAGAUUUUAGCUCUUCUUCCCCUUUUAGUCCAGCGUGCAGUUAUAGAAGAGAUUUCUAUAGAUGAUAAUCAGUGGAAUUAUGGUUUGCUAGCAACUAUGCUUGAGAAGGUGAUAUUAUUUUUGGAAGAUGGAAGACAGAAGAUGACAACGAUGAUGAAGGCUUUGCUUUUAUUUGUACUAAACAAUUUGUACUUUGAUGUAUGUAUGAUUGACCAGCUGGUUUGUCCUUUCAGUUGGUCCAGAUAUAGGGAAAAAGUGUGUAACAAUUUCUUUAUAUGAGGCCUCAACGUGGAGAUAUUUGUUGUAAAAAUAUGUACUAGAAAAAAAUAUUACUAGUUCUGUUAAUACAACUAGAAGAAUGUGUUAGUACAAGUAAAAAAAA